This 467-nucleotide ribosomal RNA is filed under the name uncultured bacterium. RNAcentral's name for it is "partial 16S ribosomal RNA". It matches the Rfam family "Bacterial small subunit ribosomal RNA", at positions 28 to 507 of the family's 1533-position model. The record is from RNAcentral.
GAUGAACGCUGGCGGCGUGCUUAACACAUGCAAGUCGAACGGAAAGGCCCAAGCUUGCUUGGGUACUCGAGUGGCGAACGGGUGAGUAACACGUGGGUGAUCUGCCCUGCACUUCGGGAUAAGCCUGGGAAACUGGGUCUAAUACCGGAUAGGACCACUUCUUGGAUGUUGUGGUGGAAAGUUUUUUCGGUGUGGGAUGAGCUCGCGGCCUAUCAGCUUGUUGGUGGGGUAAUGGCCUACCAAGGCGUCGACGGGUAGCCGGCCUGAGAGGGUGUACGGCCACAUUGGGACUGAGAGACGGCCCAGACUCCUACGGGAGGCAGCAGGGGGGAAUAUUGCACAAUGGGCGCAAGCCUGAUGCAGCGACGCCGCGGGGGGGAUGACGGCCUUCGGGUUGGAAACUCCUUUCGCUAGGGACGAAGCGUUUUGUGACGGUACCUGGAGAAGAAGCACCGGCUAACUACGUG